AUCCAGGUCUGCCUGAAGAGCAAACAAUAGAGAAAUCACCAUUGUUUCCAUUCAAGCAUAGUUUAAUGAGAAAAGCUUGACAAUAGCAGCAGUUGCGAGACAAUCUAAAACUUUUCCGUUAAAGGAAGAGCACUGGUGCUCCCACAAAUGGGUAAUUAUAUCCUGAUUCCAAGUCUUUCCAGUAGAAUGAAACAAUGUCGUUUUUCCCCUGGAUCCUAGAGGACUAGGUAUGAAAAAAGUAACCGAUUGUGAUGGUAAUAGCAGGUGACAUCAUGCAUUACCAUGGCAACCAAACUUAUAAAAUAACAAUUAUGUUAGCAGAAGUUAUUUGAAAUAGGUUCCUUGAUCAUCAAGCCCAGUGAAAAGAUGAGGCCGAUAAAGAGAAAGAUUUGUUUCUGCUACCCCUUGAGAUCAGUGCAGAUCAGGAGUCUGAUUUGGUAAUGAGCAAAUUAGUCACAGUUGGGUCUCUGUGCCCUUCCACUACCCCUGUGAGUCGUCAGAGCAAGCUCCCCAGGAAGGAAUCAGAAGCUGGAGAUGGAACAUGGGGAUUUGGGGGAAAUCAAGAAAAUAGACAUUCAGCCCUGAACCAACAGUGUGAUUUCAGAAGAAAACAUUUUAGUCACUUCAAGUUGUUUGGCCAGACCCAAACUGGAUGGCUCUUUGGGAAAUAUUCUUCUGAAGAAAUUCUGGAGGUUGCAAUGUUCUGUAAUAUUCCACAUUUAGAAUUCUUCCUCACUGAAAAAUGGAAACAGAGAUGAAGCGCAGUUUCUUGGACUCCAAGCUUGAAUGAGGCUAAGUGACAUCCGGUGAAGCCAGCGUAUGAAUUGCCUCGUCAGAGGCGCUGGCGGCAAGGAUGGUGGAGAUUGGAGUGUGCGCAGGGCAGUUGUCUCCAUGACCACACAUUCAGAGACCACAUCUGGAUCCACUCUGAAGUGAGUUCCGAACUCCAAGGUCCCCAAGGUGGCAUGUGGGGGAUGGUGCUCGUCCAGCCACAGCCCCAGGUUGAGUGAAAUGAAUGAAUUUAUCUCUGGUACCACAAGGGCCUUCUAGCUCAGCAGAGUUCUUUAUCUGUCAGCCCAGCUAGCUGGGCAGACUCAGAGCUGGGGGCCAGGCCACGGGGAGAGGGCAUGCAGGGUGGGGCAUGCAGACUUCUGGGGCAGCUGGAUGGGGGCAGGGAGGGCAGAUCCGUGACAAAGAGACUCAAGGGCCUGAUUCCCAUCCAUCAGGGAGGACGCCUCCUCACACAGCCACAGCCACAGCUGGCUGAGCUCCUGGGGCCAAAGACUCACCCUGCCCAGAGUCAGGAGGGCUGGCCAGUUGUGGUAGACCAUGGCCUCAUACUUCCCCGACUCAGCCCGACUGAGCCCAGUCCCAGGUGAGGGAGAUCCUGCAGGAGAAUGUGGAUAGCUCACAGCCACCCAUUACCCUGAUGCCAGCGUCAGAGCAUCUGAUAGCCAGUUGCAGGCAUGGGCCCUGUGGGCAGUAUGAACUGCAUGUUGGCCUCAGCCUCCCCUGCUUGCAGUGUGGGAUCUAAACCAGCUCUAGAGCCAUUGUCCAAUGUAGGGGACAGCGUUGAUACACUUUACUUUAGAUCUCUCUCUCUCUCUCUGCUCCCCUCCACUCACCCAGGUCGUCACUGGACAGCGAAGAGAAUGCAUGUGUGAAGGUGAAGGAGCAUGCAUAUAUGCAUAUGUGAGUGCAUGAGUGAGGGCAUCUGUAUGAGUGUGCAUGUGUAUGUGUCUGUGUGUCUGUGUGUAGGCAUGUACAAUAGCAGGUUUUCUGAAGGCUUACCUUAUACCCACAGCUUCAAUGACUGAGGAACAAAUCACCAAUCAAAUCUGGUGCCUGGUGACUGGUCAGCUGUUGUCAGUGCCUCCUCCAGAGGGAUUCAUUCAUUCAGUCAUAUUUAUUGAGCACUUACUGUGUGCAGAGCACUGUACUAAGCACUUGGAAAGUACAGUACAGCAAUAAAGAGAGACAAUCCCUGCCCACAUUGGGCUCACAGCCUAGAGUCAAGAAGGAUGGGGUCACUCACCCCAGGGAUUUCCUACUCCGGGUCUUACUUUCCCCUGCAGCCAGGAUCAGGUUCAGCUGCUGCCUCUGGACUCUUCGUGGGAACCAGAAACCAGAUAAAUAACCCACAGGCCAUACCUCACCAUACCAGUAUGUCCCACCUCAGAUUUUAAAUAACAAUUGCAUUUCCCCCCUCCCCUUCACAAGCCACUCCUGAGGAAGCUCCAGCUUGUUUCCUCUUCCUCCUCCUUCCACCUCUUACUCUUGUUCUUUCUCCUCCUUCUACUUCCCCUCUUCACCCUCCUCCUCUUAUUUCUCUUCCCCCUCCCUGCCAACCCCCCACUUCCUCCCCCUAAAUGAAGAAACCUCAAAGUUUAUAAAGACAUGGGAACAUUGUCACAGCAGAAGCCCAGGCUCCCCAAGUUUUCCGGUGCCGACAUGUAACCUCAUGCGCCGCCCUAUAAGGCUCAGUGCUGCUGGCUCAAUGACACUUAGGCACGGUGGAGACUUUUGACUUCAAAAUUCCCCAUCUAUCCUCCACAUAGUUAGUCUUAAUAAAAAAAUGACUUGGACCAUACAUUAUAUAUCAUCCAAAUCCACCCAGACACAAAUUAUGUAGACUACAUUGCCUAUGUAAUUUAUUUAUUAAGCAAAAGGUGAGUUUUCCCUGGUUGGGCUUGGAAGCCAAGUUUGUCACCACAGCUAAGUGAUGGGUUCCUAUUGGUCCCCUCAAUUUUGGAGGCUUCCCUCUGCACCUAUUUGUUCUACAAUCCUGCACUUGAAUUUGCAUCCUUUAUUCAUCCCUCCCUCAGUCCCACAGCACUUAUGUCCAUAUCUAUAAUUUAUUUCUACUCAUGUCUAUCUCCUCUUCUAGAAUGUAAGCUCCUUGAGGGCAGGAAACAUGUCUACCAACUCUGUUAUAUUGUACUCUCCCAUGCGCUUCAUGCGGUGCUUGAGAGUGAGUGCUCACUCAGUAAAUACAAUUAAUUGAUUGAUGGAUGGAUUGUUAGGGAUGGCACCAUGCCUCUGUCACAGCUCCAAUACCCGCUAUCCUGGUGAUUCAUAACCACUCACCAAGAUGAUGAGCACUGAUGAACUGAGAGUCGCGAAGUGAAUGCCACCAUCACUAUUACCUGUGAGCUACUGGCACAGGAAGAAAUUAAAGGAACGGUGUUGCUCUGAUAAUUUAAAUAUCUAGGGAAACCCAGUCCCCCCUAGAUCAAUUCACCCAUAACAUCAGUUAUGGUGCUUUCUCUUCCCAGCUUCUCUUUGUGGCUGAUAAUAAUGAUUAUUAUUAUCAUUAUUAUUAUUAUAGUUGCUAUUAUUAUUGUAUUUGUUACUCUGUGCCAAGCACUGCACUAGCACUGGGGUAGAUGCAAAGUAAUCAGGUUAGGCAUAGUCCCUGUCCCACAUGGGUCUCCCAGUCUAAGUGGGAGCCUUAUACAUUUAGUCUCCUUUUUAUUGAUAAAGAAACUAAGGCCCAGAAAAGUUAAGUGGAUGGGAAAAUUGGGGCCCAGAGAGCUUCAGUGACUGGCUCCCAACUCCAAGCCCCAUGCUUUCUCCAGUAGGCCACACCACCUCCUCUCAAGGACAUACUACGGGGAGGAGAGGACUAAGUGAGUUUAGGCCAAGGGGCAGGGAAGAGUCUCAGCUCUUCAGGACAGAAAUGAGAAAUGGGUGGGGGGAAUCUGGGAAAGCAACAGUACAGAAAUGCAGGAGGCCCAGGUCCAAUCAGCAUUUCCUUCCCUGCUGUCCCCGGGCAAUUGGAUGGCUGCACAGAUACUGGGGUGAGCUCAGGACCCUCCCACCAAGCCUGAAGCAGACACAAUGAGAAAGGAUUCUGAUGGGGCAGGAGUUCAAAGAGGGGGCCACUGAUGCUGCAGGAGCUGAGGGGCUAGGGAUGCAAGUAGGAUGGAGCUAACAUUUAGACAUUCAAAGUACACAUCUUCCUCCACCUCCACUUCAGACAAAGAGCCUCCAUUUUGGCGCUGGAAAAUGGGAGAAGCAAAGAAAAUCUCAUUUCAAACGAAGAUUAAUUAUCCGUAUGCCAUCAGUUCAUUUUUCGCCCCCUGAGAUUAAUUCUAUACCACUGCUUCAUUGCCAAUCCAGAGAGCAGCAUGGCAUGGGACCAAGCUCAGAGAAUCUUGUGCCAACCUUUGGGCUUCUGAGUUAAUUCACUGGGGCUGAGAUUUAUUACAUGCUUAUUAGGUGCCAAGCACUGUGCUAUACACUGGGGGCAAACACAGGAAAGUCAGAUCAGACACAGUAUGUCCCACCAAGGGCCCCUUGUUUUAGUGGGAAAAUAUAAUUACAGAAAGACAAUCCUGCUAGAACAUGCUUUUUCAUCGCAUGAUGUUGAUACAACCUGGAAGAGUUAGGGAAUAUUCAUCCCAAAAUGAGUCCAUUCUGAUAGGACACAACAGUGUGGGAAGCAGUGUAGCCUAGUGGGUAGAGCACAGGCCUGGGAGUCAGAAGGACCUGGGUUCUAAUCCUGCCUCUUCCACUUGUCUGUUGUGCCACCUUGGGCAAAUCACUUCACCUCUCUGUGCCUCAGUUAUCUCAUCUGUCCAAUGGGGAUUAAGACUGUGAGCCCCAUGUGGGGCAUGGACUGUAUCCAAUCCAACCUAAUAAGCUUGUAUCUACCCCCAGACCCUAGUACAGUGCCUGACACAAAAGAAGUGCAUAAGUACUAUUUAAAAAUACACACACACACACACACACACACAUAAUCCACACAACACCACCAGUGGAUGUGGGGAGAGAGGAAAAGAUUGUGUGCCUAAGAGGGGUGUUGAUCGAAGAGUGGUGCUGCACUAUUUCCAGGCCCCAGCUUCAGCCUGACUGUGCUGAGCUGUGCAGGACUCUGUGUAUAUGGGUGUGUGUUUGCACAUAGGCAUGUGCACGCAUGUGCACAUGCAACUCGACCACGUUUAAUACAGUAAAACUACAAUGAGUGGCCAGGAGUGCUGUGUUCUCCCAGCGGUGGACAGGACAGUCAUACAGAGACAUGUAUUGGAAAAUGUCAGUCCCAGUGGUAUCUUCAGACCACUUCCCCUUUGACCCAUUCAUUUCCAUCAAAUCACGGCUACUGGAAUGUGGUUUUCCACAGCCUGAGGUUCUACUGCAACCCCACGUCCUCUCAGAAAUGACUGCUCGCAGAACAAGAAGAGGGAAUGAUGAAGGACGGUAAACUAGGAAUUCAACAAUUCAGAGUAGUAGUGUGAUAAUCGGCAGCUAAAAUCGUGCUCUGCACUUGGGGAGAAGAGGAGAGCUCAGACUCCUCCCCACUUCCAGCCCAGUCUGGACUAACAAAUGACCUUUCCGGCACCAAGACUUCAGAGCUGGUCAGUGUGCUGAUUCCCGGGGGGUCUAGAGUCUGAUGGCACAGGGACUUGGAGCCAUGAAGCACAAGUAACUGGCCCCCUGAACCCCGCCUCCUGGGCAAGAGGGAUUCUCCCUGUGGUGGCUAGCUGAAGCUGGAAGAACACAAAGGAAAGGAAGCCAAGAUCUGUGGGUAUUUCUGAGACCCUCCCAGAAGGCUGGGUUUGCAGUAGUGACUGACUAAUUUGUAUCUACCCUAAUGCUUAGAACGGGGCUUAGGGGUAGAUUCAAAUUAAUCAGGCUAGGAUAAGUUGAGUGACUUGCCCAAGGUCACACAGCAGGCUAAUAUGUGCAAAGCACUGCACUAAGUGCUGGUAAAGAAAUAGAUGGGUGAGAUAUAGAAGCU
RNAcentral lists this long non-coding RNA (5740 nucleotides) under Ornithorhynchus anatinus (platypus). RNAcentral describes it as "lncRNA (ENSOANG00000044432.1)". The record is from RNAcentral. Lineage: Eukaryota; Metazoa; Chordata; Mammalia; Monotremata; Ornithorhynchidae.